CUUGCCAGGGAACUACGAGCCCCAGCUUAAAACCCAAAGGACUUGGCGGUGCUUUAGACCCCCCUAGAGGAGCCUGUUCUAGAACCGAUAACCCCCGUUCAACCUCACCCUCUCUUGUUUAACCCGCCUAUAUACCGCCGUCGUCAGCUUACCCUAUGAAGGAUGCACAGUAAGCAGAAUUGGUACAACCCAAAACGCCAGGUCGAGGUGUAGCGUACGAGAGGGGAAGAAAUGGGCUACAUUCACUGAACCAGUGAACAACGGACGAUGCCUUGAAAUAAACAUCUAAAGGAGGAUUUAGCAGUAAGAGGAGAAACAGAGAGUCCCUCUGAAACUGGCCCUGAAGCGCGCACACACCGCCAGUCACUCUCCCCAAAACAAACAUAAGCAUAAAUAAGAAGAAAUAAAAAUAAAGGGGAGGCAAGUCGUAACAUGGUAAGUGUACCGGAAGGUGCACUUGGAAAAAC
RNAcentral lists this ribosomal RNA (467 nucleotides) under Sicydium sp. NMBE 1066424. RNAcentral's name for it is "partial 12S ribosomal RNA". It matches the Rfam family "Bacterial small subunit ribosomal RNA", at positions 868 to 1527 of the family's 1533-position model. The record is from RNAcentral. Lineage: Eukaryota; Metazoa; Chordata; Actinopteri; Gobiiformes; Gobiidae.